Molecule: microRNA precursor, 88 nt
Filed under: Marmota monax (woodchuck)
Lineage: Eukaryota; Metazoa; Chordata; Mammalia; Rodentia; Sciuridae
Source: RNAcentral
UGUUGAUGAUGAUGAUGGUGAUGUUGUUGAUGAUGAUGAUGGUGAUGAUUUCUACCAUUAUUGUUAUUAUCAAUCACUAAGAACUUUG